UGAGGAAUAUUGGUCAAUGGGCGCAAGCCUGAACCAGCCAUCCCGCGUGAAGGAUGAAUGCCUUAUGGGUUGUAAACUUCUUUUGUACCAGAAGAAAACCCCUGACGUGUCAGGGUUUGCCGGUAUGGUACGAAUAAGCAUCGGCUAACUCCGUGCCAGCAGCCGCGGUAAUACGGAGGAUGCAAGCGUUAUCCGGAUUUAUUGGGUUUAAAGGGUGCGCAGGUGGCUUUGUAAGUCAGUGGUGAAAGUCUGCCGCUUAACGGUAGGAUUGCCAUUGAUACUGCGGAGCUUGAGUUUGGAUGAGGUAGGCGGAAUGAGUAGUGUAGCGGUGAAAUGCAUAGAUAUUACUCAGAACACCGAUUGCGAAGGCAGCUUACUAAUCCACAACUGACACUGAGGC
Molecule: ribosomal RNA, 400 nt
Filed under: uncultured bacterium
Lineage: Bacteria
Description: bacterial SSU rRNA
Rfam family: Bacterial small subunit ribosomal RNA
Source: RNAcentral